This 710-nucleotide ribosomal RNA is filed under the name Proteus mirabilis. RNAcentral describes it as "partial 23S ribosomal RNA". It matches the Rfam family "Bacterial large subunit ribosomal RNA", at positions 505 to 1216 of the family's 2925-position model. The record is from RNAcentral. Lineage: Bacteria; Pseudomonadati; Pseudomonadota; Gammaproteobacteria; Enterobacterales; Morganellaceae.
GAGGGAAAGGCGAAAAGAACCCCGGCGAGGGGAGUGAAAAAGAACCUGAAACCGUGUACGUACAAGCAGUAGGAGCCUCUUUAUGGGGUGACUGCGUACCUUUUGUAUAAUGGGUCAGCGACUUAUAUUCUGUAGCAAGGUUAACCGUAUAGGGGAGCCGUAGGGAAACCGAGUCUUAACUGGGCGAAUGAGUUGCAGGGUAUAGACCCGAAACCCGGUGAUCUAUCCAUGGGCAGGUUGAAGGUUGGGUAACACUAACUGGAGGACCGAACCGACUAAUGUUGAAAAAUUAGCGGAUGACUUGUGGAUGGGGGUGAAAGGCCAAUCAAACCGGGAGAUAGCUGGUUCUCCCCGAAAGCUAUUUAGGUAGCGCCUCGUGAAUUCAUCUUCGGGGGUAGAGCACUGUUUCGACUAGGGGGUCAUCCCGACUUACCAACUCGAUGCAAACUGCGAAUACCGAAGAAUGUUAUCACGGGAGACACACGGCGGGUGCUAACGUCCGUCGUGAAGAGGGAAACAACCCAGACCGCCAGCUAAGGUCCCAAAGUCAUGGUUAAGUGGGAAACGAAGUGGGAAGGCUCAGACAGCCAGGAUGUUGGCUUAGAAGCAGCCAUCAUUUAAAGAAAGCGUAAUAGCUCACUGGUCGAGUCGGCCCGCGCGGAAGAUGUAACGGGGCUAAACCAUGCACCGAAGCUGCGGCAGCGACACAA